AACGAACGCUGGCGGCAUGCCUAACACAUGCAAGUCGAACGAGACCUUCGGGUCUAGUGGCGCACGGGUGCGUAACGCGGGGGAACCUGCCCUUAGGUUCGGAAUAACUCCCCGAAGGGGGUGCUAAUACCGGAUAAUGUCUUCGGACCAAAGAUUUAUCGCCUUUGGAUGGGCCCGCGUUGGAUUAGCUAGUUGGUAGGGUAAAAGCCUACCAAGGCGACGAUCCAUAGCUGGUCUGAGAGGAUGAUCAGCCACACUGGGACUGAGACACGGCCCAGACUCCUACGGGAGGCAGCAGUGGGGAAUAUUGGACAAUGGGCGAAAGCCUGAUCCAGCCAUGCCGCGUGAGUGAUGAAGGCCUUAGGGUUGUAAAGCUCUUUUACCCGGGAUGAUAAUGACAGUACCGGGAGAAUAAGCUCCGGCUAACUCCGUG
This 433-nucleotide ribosomal RNA is filed under the name uncultured bacterium. RNAcentral's name for it is "partial 16S ribosomal RNA". It matches the Rfam family "Bacterial small subunit ribosomal RNA", at positions 29 to 507 of the family's 1533-position model. The record is from RNAcentral.